RNAcentral lists this transfer RNA (60 nucleotides) under Alloeorhynchus bakeri. Its description in RNAcentral is "tRNA-Ala". The record is from RNAcentral. Lineage: Eukaryota; Metazoa; Arthropoda; Insecta; Hemiptera; Nabidae.
GGGGUUGUAGUUAAUAAUAACAUUUAAUUUGCAGUUAAAAAGUACUGAUAGUCUACCUCA